Non-coding RNA from Cinara cedri, 311 nucleotides. The record is from the annotation of a GenBank genome assembly. NCBI's taxonomy places the organism in Eukaryota, Metazoa, Arthropoda, Insecta, Hemiptera, Aphididae.
CAGUAUUCCAUAAGUGAGUCUUAUAUUCCCCUUCUUCCUACAAAUGAAGAUAAUGAAUGCAAAAUAUCAAUCAACAACAUUUAUUUUGUUUAAUACCAACUUGGGUCUUAAAUCUAGGAAACUAGCCCUAGGUUUUACGAAAAUAUUUUUAUGUAACUUAACUUAUAGAGAACCAUAAAACUGAAAAUGAUCUGAUAUAUGUUUAUGAUAAAUUAUUAUAACACAAAAAACUUUAAAAGUUAAUAUUAUCACUAUUAUAAUAAAUUUCAAACCCAAAACAGUGGUGAAUAUUAUAUUAUCACAGUUGGUGG